Cervus elaphus (red deer) is the source of this 73-nucleotide non-coding RNA. The record is from the annotation of a RefSeq genome assembly. Lineage: Eukaryota; Metazoa; Chordata; Mammalia; Artiodactyla; Cervidae.
UUUCUGGUGGUCCAGUGGUUAGGACUUGGCACUUUCACUGCCAUUGACCUAGGUUCAAACCCUAGUUGGGGAA